CUAUCUGCAAGUCGAGCGGACAGAAGGGAGCUUGCUCCCGGAUGUUAGCGGCGGACGGGUGAGUAACACGUGGGUAACCUGCCUGUAAGACUGGGAUAACUCCGGGAAACCGGAGCUAAUACCGGAUAGUUCCUUGAACCGCAUGGUUCAUAGGAUGAAGGAUGAAAGAGGGGUUCGGCUGUCACUUACAGAUGGACCCGCGGCGCAUUAGCUAGUUGGUGGGGUAAUGGCUCACCAAGGCGACGAUGCGUAGCCGACCUGAGAGGGUGAUCGGCCACACUGGGACUGAGACACGGCCCAGACUCCUACGGGAGGCAGCAGUAGGGAAUCUUCCGCAAUGGACGAAAGUCUGACGGAGCAACGCCGCGUGAGUGAUGAAGGUUUUCGGAUCGUAAAGCUCUGUUGUUAGGGAAGAACAAGUGCGAGAGUAACUGCUCGCACCUUGACGGUACCUAACCAGAAAGCCACGGCUAACUACGUGCCAGCAGCCGCGGUAAUACGUAGGUGGCAAGCGUUGUCCGGAAUUAUUGGGCGUAAAGGGCUCGCAGGCGGUUUCUUAAGUCUGAUGUGAAAGCCCCCGGCUCAACCGGGGAGGGUCAUUGGAAACUGGGAAACUUGAGUGCAGAAGAGGAGAGUGGAAUUCCACGUGU
This 650-nucleotide ribosomal RNA is filed under the name Bacillus pumilus. RNAcentral describes it as "bacterial SSU rRNA". It matches the Rfam family "Bacterial small subunit ribosomal RNA", at positions 51 to 676 of the family's 1533-position model. The record is from RNAcentral. Lineage: Bacteria; Bacillati; Bacillota; Bacilli; Caryophanales; Bacillaceae.